Long non-coding RNA from Gopherus evgoodei (Goodes thornscrub tortoise), 1037 nucleotides. RefSeq lists it as uncharacterized. NCBI's taxonomy places the organism in Eukaryota, Metazoa, Chordata, Testudines, Testudinidae. The record is from RefSeq and is a predicted model, not a curated record. The transcript is spliced from 2 exons.
CAGUGUCAUCCUAGCAGUCUUCCUGGGAGGCUGCACCUUUUCUGAGAUCUCUGCUCUCCGAUUCCUGGGGAAGGAGAAAGGAUACAAGUUUAUAUUCCUGACAACAGCCAUCACAAGCAGCGCCAGGCUGAUGGACGCCAUGUUAGAGGCGAAGGUGUGAGGCAGGGCUGAGCCACGGCCCUGGCAGAACAGCUUAUGCCAGCCAGGGUCACGUUCCGCAGUGGACACUGCCCAGGCACUGCACACAUGACACUGGAGUGCUGUACAUCAGCAGUCGGAGCAGGGCAGACAUGGAACCCAUCCUGCCAUGAGCCUCUCAGUGGGUUUCCCGAAGGCUGCAGAUUGGGGUUUAAAUGGAUGAAGAGACCUUCGGUGGGUGCGAGGGGAGUGUCUCUGGGGAGGCUGGAAGAGGGAAGAAUCUGUUGUUUCUCUAAUCCAAACCCAGGGUGUUCGAGUCUCUGUUAUGCUUUAGGCCUGUGGGGCCACUGUCCAGGCAAGUCCCUGUGCUUGGUGUAUUGGUGCUUCUAUCAUUGGGUUGUUAAGGGACCUCACUGGCCUUUUGGGUUCUUAUUUUGGGUUUUGUGCCCUGGCUCCCACCCUUGGCUCCCUUCUCGUCCCUGGACAGAUGUGUCAGUACUAGGGGCCAGGGGCGAUGCCAAGCUGUUAGCAGCACUGCUUUCUUCCCCUACCGAGGCCUGUUCACCUGGAGAUGUGAACAGGCAGAGGGAGCUGGCUUCUACUGGAGUCACAAAUGAAAAUGAAUUGCAUUGUUACCUGAAUUUUAAAUGCAUGUUCAUUCACUUCACAGAACUGCCUGUUCUGGCACCAAACACAACCAGCUCUAGUCUGGAUUGAUGGACUGACAUGGGGAAAGGAGUGGACCAGCAGGGGUGCUUAGGGGUAGGCUGGAGGUGCAGCAACAGAGGGUGUGAGUGGAGUUAGGGCUGGGAUUUGAAUAGCAUAGGAUUGCGCUGGCAGAAGUGUGUAAUAGUGGUACAUUGAUCUGUACCAUAUAAAAUAUAUUUGGGCAGCCUUUA